AGUGAACGCUGGCGGUAGGCCUAACACAUGCAAGUCGAACGGCAGCACAGUAAGAGCUUGCUCUUACGGGUGGCGAGUGGCGGACGGGUGAGGAAUACAUCGGAAUCUACUUUUUCGUGGGGGAUAACGUAGGGAAACUUACGCUAAUACCGCAUACGACCUACGGGUGAAAGCAGGGGAUCUUCGGACCUUGCGCGAUUGAAUGAGCCGAUGUCGGAUUAGCUAGUUGGCGGGGUAAAGGCCCACCAAGGCGACGAUCCGUAGCUGGUCUGAGAGGAUGAUCAGCCACACUUGAACUGAGGCACGGUCCAGACUCCUAAGGGAGGCCGCAGUGGGGAAUAUUGGGCAAUGGGGGGAAGCCUUAUCCAACCAUACCGCGUGGGUUGAAGAGGCCUUCGGGUUUUAAAACCCUUUUUUUGGGAAAGAAAAACAGCAAGUUAAUACCCCGCUGUUCUGACGGUACCCAAAGGAUAAGCAACGGCUAACUUCGUU
RNAcentral lists this ribosomal RNA (492 nucleotides) under uncultured bacterium. RNAcentral's name for it is "partial 16S ribosomal RNA". It matches the Rfam family "Bacterial small subunit ribosomal RNA", at positions 29 to 507 of the family's 1533-position model. The record is from RNAcentral.